UAUCUGUCGACGUCGAUGCAGUCAAAAAGUUUACGCUAAAGUUAGUUUGCUGAAGUCAGCUGAGGGUCUGGUUUACCAUCCUUUACCUGGAAGCUAUUGUGCUAUUUUUUGCCAACACAUUUUUCACUUCGAUAGACCAAUGUUCCAAAACAAAUGUAGCGGUCUUGUUAGCUAGAGCUAGGUAACUACCACGCUUGCCUGAAAUCGACUGCUUUGUGGUUGCCAGUGUCAGAAAGAGCCGUGGGUCUACAGGCCUAAACGUACAAAACACGACGAGUUGCAUUUUUACAGUCAUACCUACAGGCUUGUGUCCCAGCAUAGCAUGGAAAAGGCACACCUCCACCUCCUGGCUCCAUGUGACAGAGUCCUCGGCAGGAUAAAUCCCCGAAUCUUCAUGUUUCUCUUCUGUGGGAGACGCGUCAGCUUCACCCAUAACUCUUCUGCUCUGGUUGUCUCUCAUGGACUUUCCUGGGUCUGCCCUGAUGGCCCCAUGCAAUUGAUGUUUCAUAUGCAGUGCCAAAGGAUGGACAAGACUGUGCUCUCAGCCGGCCUGGGAAUUCAUUUGAAGAAUGAACAUCCAUUGGUGAUAAAUCAUAUUCCCGAAUGGAGUCCAAGAAAUAAUUGUUCCCUUUGAUUUAUAUUUUAUUUAUACUUCCAUAUUACAUUCAGUACAUACUUUAUAAUAGGCAAACAUCUUCUUGCUUACACAUUAUUGUAAAUGAAAUACAUAUUUAAUUAAACAGCUAUACAUAUGCAGUAAAAUAUCCAGUAUUAAUUCAAUGCUAAUAGAGUAAAUAUAGGGGACGAUAUGCACUCUCUAAGAGUUGGUUCAACACUGAACAUUUUACUGUGUAUGUCUG
Long non-coding RNA from Conger conger (European conger), 860 nucleotides. RefSeq lists it as uncharacterized. The record is from RefSeq and is a predicted model, not a curated record. Lineage: Eukaryota; Metazoa; Chordata; Actinopteri; Anguilliformes; Congridae. The transcript is spliced from 4 exons.